UACGAAGGGGGCUAGCGUUGUUCGGAAUUACUGGGCGUAAAGCGCACGUAGGCGGAUUUGUUAGUCAGGGGUGAAAUCCCGGGGCUCAACCUCGGAACUGCCUUUGAUACUGCAAAUCUCGAGUCCGGAAGAGGUGAGUGGAAUUCCUAGUGUAGAGGUGAAAUUCGUAGAUAUUAGGAAGAACACCAGUGGCGAAGGAGGCUCACUGGUCCGGUACUGACGCUGAGGUGCGGAAGCGUGGGGAGCAAACAGG
Molecule: ribosomal RNA, 253 nt
Filed under: uncultured bacterium
Lineage: Bacteria
Description: partial 16S ribosomal RNA
Rfam family: Bacterial small subunit ribosomal RNA
Source: RNAcentral